This 446-nucleotide long non-coding RNA is filed under the name Oryctolagus cuniculus (rabbit). Its description in RNAcentral is "lncRNA (ENSOCUG00000032822.1)". Lineage: Eukaryota; Metazoa; Chordata; Mammalia; Lagomorpha; Leporidae. The record is from RNAcentral.
AUGCGCAGCUACCCACAAUGCAGCCGGCGCGCGCCGCUCCGCCCCCUUUUGCAUCACUCGCCACGGCACUUUACGGCUCCGUCGCGGAUUCUUUUGGCGGGUAGUCCCGCCCCCUCGUGCUCCGAAGACCCGCCCCUCUGUCCGGGGAUUGGUUAUGCGUCCCUGCCGCCCCGCGGUGACUGGCUCCCGCUCCUGCCACUCCUUUUCAGGCUUGUGGCGCGCGGCGGGGCGGCGACCGGCGGCAGCGUGAUCGGCGGCGGCGGCGGCGGAAGUGGCCGGGGAGCCCGGUCCCCGCCGACACCAUGCUUCCCCUGUCGCUGCUGAAGACGGCGCAGAACCACCCCAUGCUGGUGGAGCUGAAGAACGGGGAGACGUACAACGGGCACCUGGUCAGCUGCGACAACUGGAUGAACAUCAACCUGCGGGAGGUGAUCUGCACGUCCAGG